RNAcentral lists this transfer RNA (72 nucleotides) under Camelus bactrianus (Bactrian camel). It matches the Rfam family "tRNA". From Rfam's summary of the family: Transfer RNA (tRNA) molecules are approximately 80 nucleotides in length. Their secondary structure includes four short double-helical elements and three loops (D, anti-codon, and T loops). Further hydrogen bonds mediate the characteristic L-shaped molecular structure. tRNAs have two regions of fundamental functional importance: the anti-codon, which is responsible for specific mRNA codon recognition, and the 3' end, to which the tRNAs corresponding amino acid is attached (by aminoacyl-tRNA synthetases). tRNAs cope with the degeneracy of the genetic code in two manners: having more than one tRNA (with a specific anti-codon) for a particular amino acid; and 'wobble' base-pairing, i.e. permitting non-standard base-pairing at the 3rd anti-codon position. Lineage: Eukaryota; Metazoa; Chordata; Mammalia; Artiodactyla; Camelidae. The record is from Rfam by way of RNAcentral. RNAcentral also lists the same sequence under 2 other names.
GAGAGCAUAGCUCAGCGGUACAGUGCAUGCUUAGCGUGCAUGAGAUGCUGGGUUCAAUCCCCAGUACCUCCA